AGCGAACGCUGGCGGCAGGCUUAACACAUGCAAGUCGAGCGGGCAUCUUCGGAUGUCAGCGGCAGACGGGUGAGUAACACGUGGGAACGUACCCUUCGGUUCGGAACAACUCUGGGAAACUGGAGCUAAUACCGGAUACGCCCUUAUGGGGAAAGGUUUACUGCCGAAGGAUCGGCCCGCGUCUGAUUAGCUAGUUGGUGGGGUAACGGCCUACCAAGGCGACGAUCAGGAGCUGGUCUGAGAGGAUGAUCAGCCACACUGGGACUGAGACACGGCCCAGACUCCUACGGGAGGCAGCAGUGGGGAAUAUUGGACAAUGGGCGCAAGCCUGAUCCAGCCAUGCCGCGUGAGUGAUGAAGGCCUUAGGGUUGUAAAGCUCUUUUGUCCGGGACGAUAAUGACGGUACCGGAAGAAUAAGCCCCGGCUAACUUCGUG
This 435-nucleotide ribosomal RNA is filed under the name uncultured bacterium. RNAcentral describes it as "partial 16S ribosomal RNA". It matches the Rfam family "Bacterial small subunit ribosomal RNA", at positions 29 to 507 of the family's 1533-position model. The record is from RNAcentral.